This 253-nucleotide ribosomal RNA is filed under the name uncultured bacterium. RNAcentral's name for it is "partial 16S ribosomal RNA". It matches the Rfam family "Bacterial small subunit ribosomal RNA", at positions 524 to 776 of the family's 1533-position model. The record is from RNAcentral.
UACGAAGGGGGCUAGCGUUGUUCGGAAUUACUGGGCGUAAAGCGCACGUAGGCGGAUAUUUAAGUCAGGGGUGAAAUCCCGGGGCUCAACCCCGGAACUGCCUUUGAUACUGGGUAUCUCGAGUCCGAGAGAGGUGAGUGGAAUUCCGAGUGUAGAGUUGAAAUUCGUAGAUAUUCGGAGGAACACCGGUGGCGAAGGCGGUCUGCUGGGCAGUUGCUGACACUGAGGCGCGACAGCGUGGGGAGCAAACAGG